UCAAGCGACUAAGUGUAUGUGGUGGAUGCCUUGGCGAUUACAGGCGAUGAAGGACGUCGCAGCCUGCGAAAAGCCGUGGGGAGCUGGCAAGCGAGCACUGAUCCACGGAUGUCCGAAUGAGGGAACUCACCCGCAAGGGUAUCUUGAAGUGAAUACAUAGCUUCAAGAGGCGAACGCAGCGAACUGAAACAUCUAAGUAGCUGCAGGAAAAGAAAUCAACCGAGAUUCUGAAAGUAGCGGCGAGCGAAAUUGGAAGAGCCUGCAAGUGAUAUUGAAUUCGAUACUGGAACGGUCUGGAAAGUCCGGCUACAGAGGGUGACAGCCCCGUACGGGAAAUUGGGUUCAAGGUACUGAGCUUGCGAAAAGUAGAGCGGGACACGUGAAAUCCUGCUCGAAGAUGGGGGGACCAUCCUCCAAGGCUAAAUACUCGUAAUCGACCGAUAGCGAACCAGUACUGUGAAGGAAAGGCGAAAAGAACCCCGGGAGGGGAGUGAAAUAGAUCCUGAAACCGCAUACAUACAAACAGUAGGAGCCCGCAAGGGUGACUGCGUACCUUUUGCAUAAUGGGUCAGCGACUUACGUUCAAUGGCAAGCUUAACCGAGUAGGGGAGGCGCAGCGAAAGCGAGUCCGAACAGGGCGACAUGAGUCGUUGGGCGUAGACCCGAAACCAGAUGAUCUAUCCAUGGCCAGGCUGAAGGUGUGGUAACACACACUGGAGGGCCGAACCGACUAGUGUUGCAAAAUUAGCGGAUGAGCUGUGGAUAGGGGUGAAAGGCUAAACAAAUCUGGAGAUAGCUGGUUCUCCCCGAAAACUAUUGAGGUAGUGCCUCGUGUAUGGCUCCAGGGGGUAGAGCACUGUUAUGGCUAGGGGGACAUGGCGUCUUACCAAACCAUGGCAAACUCCGAAUACUUGGAAGUCUGAGCACGGGAGACAGAGCACCGGGUGCUAACGUCCGGACUCAAAAGGGAAACAACCCAGACCGCCGGCUAAGGUCCCUAAUAUUGACUAAGUGGAAAACGAAGUGGGAAGGCUAAGACAGUCAGGAAGUUGGCUUAGAAGCAGCCAUCCUUCAAAGAAAGCGUAAUAGCUCACUGAUCGAGUCUUCCUGCGCGGAAGAUGUAACGGGGCUAAGUCAAUAACCGAAGCCGCGGAUUCGCAGCAAUGCGAGUGGUAGGGGAGCGUUCUGUAAGCCUGCGAAGGCGGAUCCGUGAGGACCGCUGGAGGUAUCAGAAGUGCGAAUGCUGACAUGAGUAACGUUAAAGCGGGUGAAAAGCCCGCUCGCCGCAAGCCCAAGGUUUCCUGCUCUACGUUCAUCGGAGCAGGGUGAGUCGGCCCCUAAGGUCAGGCUGAGAAGCGUAGCUGAUGGGAAGCUGGUUAAUAUUCCAGCACCGAUUUCAAGUGCGAAGGGGGGACGGAGUCCUGAAGGUCAUCCGGGUGUUGGACAUCCCGGUUUACGAGCGUAGGAGGUUGACAGGCAAAUCCGUCAACGGAUCUCCAAGGCGAAGGAUCGAGGUUGAGAGAUCAACUGAAGUGACUGAAUGGGCUUCCAGGAAAAGCCUCUAAGCAUCAGCUUGGAAUUGACCGUACCGCAAACCGACACUGGUGGGCGAGCUGAAUAUGCUCAGGCGCUUGAGAGAACUCAGGAGAAGGAACUCGGCAAAUUGACACCGUAACUUCGGGAUAAGGUGUGCCUUUGUAGUGUGAAGGGAGAAACACCCCGAGCAUGAAGAGGCCUCAGAGAAUCGGUGGCUGCAACUGUUUACUAAAAACACAGCACUCUGCAAAGAUGAAAGUCGACGUAUAGGGUGUGAUGCCUGCCCGGUGCUGGAAGAUUAAUUGAUGGGGUGCAAGCUCCUGAUCGAAGUCCCAGUAAACGGCGGCCGUAACUAUAACGGUCCUAAGGUAGCGAAAUUCCUUGUC
RNAcentral lists this ribosomal RNA (1922 nucleotides) under human gut metagenome. RNAcentral describes it as "bacterial LSU rRNA". It matches the Rfam family "Bacterial large subunit ribosomal RNA", at positions 3 to 1973 of the family's 2925-position model. The record is from RNAcentral.